This 7473-nucleotide long non-coding RNA is filed under the name Lactuca sativa (garden lettuce). RNAcentral's name for it is "long non-coding RNA (LSAT_LNC006952)". The record is from RNAcentral. Lineage: Eukaryota; Viridiplantae; Streptophyta; Magnoliopsida; Asterales; Asteraceae.
AUCCCUAUUCGUGAUCUUUCUUUUUCCUUUCCCGCAAAUGACACAUGCUCUCCAUUAAAAUUCUGAAUGUCAUGCAAAUUAGAGAUGUCUCACAUCUGUUGGAUUAGGGUCGUUAGCCGAACGGGUAGGAUAGGACGAAGCCUUCCGUCAUAAGUAUAAUGAAGUAUAAAAGUAACUAAAUGUUUUUCAAAUUCCCAAUCUUAGUUACUUAGGCAAAGUGAAUUGAUGCAAUUCCAUGAAAUUACACUUUGUGCCCUUGCGAAGACGUUAGUGGAGCGUGUGUGGUUUACCGGCACACUAAAUGGUUCUAAGCAAAGGUAGCAAAGGGUGACUCAAUGUUUGUCAUAGUUCGGUGGAGCGUGUGUGGAUUACCGGCACACCGAAUAGGUGACUGUAACAUGUGAGGGCACCAUGUAAGUUUACAUGGUUAUUCACACCCGCUUUGUGAUCCUCGGUAUCCCAGUCACAAACAAGAGGGGCAUAUCGAGAUUUAAACAUGCCAUUGAAAUGUUCAAUGAAUCUCAAAGGAUCUAGGAGUUUUCAUAGAUUUAAAACCUAAAUUUAUUUUUCGUUUUUCAUGGUGGAAAUUAGUGAAUCGUCAUUCACUUACCUUCAAAUGUUCUGCAAUUAGGGUUACGGCAUCCCUCUCCCGAGUUGUAGAAUAUUGUGUUGGGUCCUAGCCUUAGUAUCUCAUUUGGGUGAUUUACUAAGGACUCAAUCAAUCAACUAACUUGAAUUUGUUUCCUCCCGUUUUGUAGAUGUCAAAGUUCGACAACUAUGGUCUUCCCAAAUCCCGUGGAACAAGCAUUCCACAUGAAGAUGGUAUUCCACGAUUCGAUCGAGGAACAAGAAAUCAUGCUUCACUUCCUCCACCUCCUCCAAUUAUUCUCCCUAACCCACAAGUUCAAAGGCUUGAAAAGUUCAAGAUCACUCAAGCCCUUUUGGCAAGUAAACAUAAAGAAGGAAAGUCGGUGUGUGCACACGUCCUAGGGAUGAAGUCACACAUUGAUAGGUUAAGAAUGUUGGGAUCCGUUGUCUGUGAGGAAAUGGCUGUUGAUUGGGUUCUUCAGUCACUUCCUAACUCAUAUAGUGAGUUCGUAAGAGAGUACUAUAUGAUGAACCGCGACGUGACCCUUAUAGAUCUCACCUAUAUGCUUAUUGCUGCUGAAUCAGCAAUGGUUUGGCGCAAUAGAAAAGCAAAGUUGAUUGGUGAAUCUGCCUUCAAGACCUCUAUGGAUAUAGACAAUGGCAACGAAAGACAUGCUAUGAUCGAAAAGUUUGAUCAUAAGAGAAAGGCAAUGUCUGAAGUAGUUCCAUGUCAUGUUCCAAAAGAGUCAAUUUGCUUUUAUUGCCAAGAGAAAGGGCAUUGGAGACGAAGCUGCCCCAUUUACCUAAGAGAUCUAAGAGAUGGGAGAGUCGAAACGUAUGGCUCUAAUAUAGGUAAAAUCCAUUAACUAACUCUUUUAAGCUUCUAUUCUAGAUUCUUAAUACAUAAUGUGAUAAGAUUACAAUUGAUGUUUUGUAGGAUCGAAGAAAAGAAAGGAAGCUUAAGGGAAGAAGUGAGCAGAAUCUAACCGUGAAGGAAUGGAUUUCGAUCGCAUUUCUCGAAGAUUAGAUUCUUGAGCUACUACUUAGAGUUAGAAUUAGAUUGCUAAGAAAGAUGUAUUAGCAUAGUUUUUCAAUGAAUUGCAUUGUAAGGACAAAUUUUUUCCGCAAUAAAAUAAAUUUUGAUUUUAUAUUAUUUAUUUAUCCUUGCAAUGGCGUAUAUGAAAAAUUGAUGUUUGAAUGUUUCUAUUAUUAGCAAUAAUGGAUUUGGUUCUUAUUAUGUUAUUUAUGGAAAGUCGAGAAUUUACCAAAUAGGGAGAGUUUCUCAUCGCCCAAGUUUCAAUUGGACAGAAACUUGGAAUCAUGCAACUUGGUUGCACGAUGAAUGAGAAAUUUCAUAUUUGGAAAUUAGACUAAUUCAUUGACAAAGUGUCAAGUGAAGGACUAGGAGAUCGAGUACACAAAGUUGCGUGUUGAUCAAGUCCACCAUAAGAGUAACAAAGAUAUUCGUCAUGAUUUACUAAAGGUUUAGUAAAUAUGAUUAUACUUACAAGAUUAAGUGUAAUUCUGAAUUGAUUGAAAAAGUUUAAAUCAAUAGCAGAACGAAUAAGAAGAAUCAAGUAGGCAGAAAGAUAAAAGUUUCUCCAUUCUAAGAAGAAGGGAGAGUACCUUUUAUGCUUUAUGAUAGGUCUUAAUGAUUAAGAACCAUAUCUCAAUUGAUCCUCUAAGUGAGUCUUAGUACAAUUGUAUGUCUAAGAAGAGGAAUCAAGAAUUGAAGAAAUGGUUAAAUCAAGAAGUCAAUCAUACUUCGUUCCAAAACAAGUCUUAGAGUUAAGAUUGUGACAUUGAGUGAUAAGUAUUAAGAAGGUUUAUAACAUUCAUCAAAUGUGGAAAGUUGUGAUGUCUUGGAUAAGACAAAGACCAACUAGGACCAAUUUAUGAAGUGUUUUGAUAAAAGCUACACUAACUCUUGAAUAUUUGUUUGUCAAGAAAUGUUUAUUGACAAGAGAAUCUUAUAUGUCAAGGAGUCAGUGGGAGUCUUAAUGGUCUUGAAAGGUUUCAAGAACAAAUCAAAUAAACCUUAUCGAUCAUCACUAGCACACGAGUUGAGGUUUACAACCUAUCGUGUUGACAUUAUUUUGUUUCUGUGCCAAUCCAAUCGAGUUAAUUAUGCAUGUGAGUUCUAUGAGUUCUCAUUUUGAACGCAUAAAAGGCAAAGCACCUUAAUCAAUGAAAGGUACAUUGAUAGGAAAGGGUGAGCUGCUUAACUACUUGGAAGACAUGGUGGGCAGCUGUGCUACCAUAAGGCAAGAAAUCAAGAUUAAGAAAGUUCGGUCCAUAUGAGUUUGAAUUUGUCGUAAACUUUGGUUUUAACAAAUUCACAUGGAUAGGAACACAUACACCGUUUAAAUCUAAGUGUCAUAAGAUUUCCUCCUUCAUGAAAAUGAUUGUGAGGAAAUGCUUUCACUAAGAAAGAUUUUAAGAAGAUAGUGAUUGUAAAAUUGCAUUCUCGAAUUCGAUUAUGGUUACGGUAUCCCUUUCCAUAAUUUGAAUUGUGAGGUUUGGCAAUUAGUCUUAAUUGUUUAGACACACAUAUGAACUAUCGAAGGCAAAGGUGUAUAAGUUCAAGAAGCCUUGAUAAAAGAUUAUCAAAGCACUAAGUAUUAGAAACAUGAACUUAAGAAAUUCAAUAAGUAUUGUUUUUCUGAAAGUUAAGAUGUUUAUGAAUACAUGUCGAAGCUAGUGGGAGCAUAAGUGUUAUGUUUUAUAAUAAUCAUCAUGAUAGUGGGAGCAUAAAUGUUAUGAUUGUAUGAUUAUUAAGGAAAGUAUUGCAAGUUGGCAAUAUUAAUUAUAGAAAACAAGAGUCAUACUUUGCAAAGUUGUAAGGAUGGAAUAGUUGUUUUGCUAUAAUUAAGGGAGAGAAUAUUAUGCUUCAUUUCAAAUCUAAAGGCUUAGGUUGAGAAAUGUUAAUAAAUUUAGUCAAAGGUACAUAGUGUGUUCUUAAAAUUUCGAUUAUGAUUACGGCAUUCCUCUUCACAAUUCGAAUUUUGAGAACAUAGCAAAUAAAACAUUAUGCGUCGUGUCCCAUACGCUUCGGGUAUAGGAUCGAUUGCAAAUGCUUUAAUGUUUGACCAUUCUAAAAUUUUCCAAAUGUCGAGCGCAUUUAGAGGGAAAAGGGACUAGAAUUGGUUUUGACUAAAAUAAUUAAACAACUAUCAAAGGACAAUCCAAAGUUCGACGAGGAUUGGUCGCUUGUGAGUAGUUGGAAGUAUGGUAUUGGAAAAUAUGGAAAUGUUUCCAUAUUGGAUGGACCAUAUCGACAUCAUUACGAAUAGAUAAGAUUCUAUUAAGAAUGAGUUGUCAUAUGGAACAUAUGGAAGUGUGUCCAUAUUGGGAAUUGAAUAUUGAGAAAUCUAUGACUAGAUUAGAAACUUCUAUGCAAAAGGAUGUUCAAAGAAUGUACUUUGAGUGAGAGACAUCACGUCUAUGGAAUUGUCUUGUAACAAUCUCCGAUAGAGGACUUUGUAAUAUCAUUGGCAAUAGUCUUUGUGACUUUGGUGCAGUGACAUUACGAAAGGAUAGUUGCAUAGAAUGUUAGAAUCUAGCAUAUUCUAUAAGUAGCAAGAAUUUGAUAUUCUUUGACUUAUGAAAAACGGAUUUGGAGUUGUGAAAUGAGAAGGAUUGGAAAUGUGUUCAAUGUGAUCUAUUUCACAAAGUAAGAACCAUAGGUAAACAUUGUGUGCAUGCUAGGAGCAUGGGACAAGUGUUGGAAUUCAAGUAAGAAGUUGAUUACCCGAAACGACAAAUAAUGAGUAAUCAAUAUGGUGAUAAAUAAAAGGUGUUUUAUUUAUACUCAAAGGUUUGAGGCCAUAUGGGAUUAGUAUUAUUCUUGUGUUUCACAUUUGCAUGUUUUGACUUCCAGAAUAAUUGAGUUUAUUAAGAAUAAUCGAAUUAUUCAAACGGGCCACAGUCGUUCAUAUGUUGGAAGUAGAUAUGAAUGAAGACUGUCGUGAAUUGGUGUGUGGAUUGUCUAAAAGAGUAUUAGACAUAAGCAAAUGUUUGCUGCAACGUUCAUGAGUGCUUAUGAAUAUGAUUUGAGCAUUGGAUUAAACCCACGCUCACUUGGAUCACUCCAUGAAUUGUAUCACGAGUGAUUGGUGAGACGAUAACAUCUUAUAUUCUUGAAACCGAGAUGUGUGAGUUGUAUCUUGCAAAUCGGUUGCACAUUGAUAAUAUGUAAACGCACUAGUAACUUGGUGUUAUAAAACAUAUUGUUGUGUGUGAUUCGGUGAGUGAGUGCAAGCAAGCAUUGUAUCAAAGUUUAUCCGUUCCUUUUAUCCAAAGUAGGAUAAAAGCGAUAUCUUUGGGCCCCUCGAUGGUUUAGUGAUGACAAACGUAAAUGCUCGGCCGGGCUAGGGCUAAUUUGAUUUGUUCAAUUAGUCAGUCGUCAUAAAUCGGAAAUCGAGAUAUAGUACAAAGAGAAUGAUUUGAAAUCAUAUCUCAUAUGAUAUCUAGAAUGGAGGAAUAUAUGAUCCCUUAUCUAAGGACACGCGUAUCUGAUAUGAUCAGAGUUGACAGCGGCUUUGGAAAGCUACGAUUGCAGAUCGGGAUCCGAAGUCAUACGCAGAAUAGUUGUUAGACUUAUCCAAGUGGGAGACUGUUGGAUUAGUGUCUAAGUCCAUAACUAUUUUGGUAUGUACUUGACCCGAUGGUGCAUGGUCCUUUUGGGUUGCCUUCACCAAAGCAACUUGAUUGGAGAAAUAAAUAGAGAGAGAGGUUAUUAUGAUUUAUUAAUAUGUUAUAAGAAUAAUAUAUUAAAGGAGAAAUCAUAUUUGUUUAAUUAAUAUUGGUCAAUAAUUAAUUAAGAAUUAAUUUUGUGAUCAAGUGUAAUUAAUUAAACUAGAGGGGCUGAAUUGUAAUUAUGUGAUAGUUACAAAAUAAGGUAAGGAUUAUCUUAUAUAUAUGGUGAACGAAUUUGAGGUGUAAAUCCCUUAGAAUUCGACUAGGAUAAGGAUUUCUAGGACUUAUCUUAUGGUUGCUUGGUGGACAAGCAACUAGAUAAGGAUAAGGACUAAAACCCUAAUCUUUACACCUAUAUAAACCCCCUAGGGCUUAGGAAUUCGUCCAACCCUUCCCAAGAGGUCCUAAGGACGAAUUCUAACCUCCCUCCUCUCUCUUUAUACCUUCUCCACUUGCUUAUGGUGUUUGUAAGCCAUUAGAGGAGUGACACUUGUGACUCUCAGCUUUCCAAGGUCAAUUCAAGGAGGAAUUGGAUUGUUAUUGCUAUAUAACAAUCAAGGUAUGUUCUUAAACCUAAUUACAUGUGAAUUCUGAUUUCCAUAUGCUAGAAUUAGGGUUCAAAGUCUUGGAUUCAAAGUAUGUACAAUAGAGAAACCUAGAUCCAAGCUUUAGGGUUUGUAUGAGCACAUAGGAUGUCUUAUGACCAAAACCCAUCAGUGGUAUCAGAGCCAUGAUUGGUUUCUAUUGUAUUGAUGCUUGAUGUAACUGAAAAUCGUGUUUUGGCCUCACUGUUCGACCUGACUCGGCGAGUCACUCUUGGACUCGGCGAGUCAGCCCUACUCGGCGAGUUCCAGAGGGUGACUCGGCGAGUCGGUGCGUCAGAUAGUGCUUAUCUCGGGAUUUCUUGCUGUUUUUGCAUUGGGAUAAUUACCUUAUCAUGUUAGAUUAAUAUUAAUCCGAUUAUAUGAUAUAUUUGACUAUAUUUUUAAUCUAAUUGAAGAUAUUUAUCAAUUAAUAAGAUAAUUGUUUCCUUAUAAGAUAAUUGAUUAAUUAUUUUAAGUAAAUUGAUAAAUUAUUUUGCAAGAAAUCAUCAAAUAUGGAUAAUUAUGUGAUUAAAUGUUAAUUUGAAUUAUUUGUUAUUUGAUCCUUGUUGUUGUGAAAAGUUUCAUAUUUGGCCCUUUAGGUUUUAUAGUUUAAAUUUGAACCCCAAAAGUUUUGUUGUUUUGAAAUUUAAAUAGUUGAAACCCUAAUGUUUUGAAAAAGGUUUCAAAACUUGCCCUCAAGUUUUGGAAUUUAAAUUUUGAUUAAAUAGUUUAAUUUUGAUGCAUAUUUAAAUUCUAAACCCUAAUGUGUUGAAAUGUUUCAAAACUUGCCCUCAAGUUUUGGAAUUUAAAAGUUGAUUAAAAGUUUAAUUAGGAAUGUUAAAUUCUAAAACUCUAGUAUAGUUUUGAAAAAGUUCAAAUCACACCCUUAUGGUUUUAUUAAUUAAUUAAGGUGUAUAAUUAAAAGAGGUUUAAUAAAUCCAUAAAAGUUUAGGUUUACAAUUUAAUUGAAUUAAAAGUAUAAUUGUUAAAUUAGACCACCUAGUAUUUUAAAAGUAUAAAAUACACCCUAUACUAUAUAUAACAUUAAAAGUCUAACAUUAUAUAUAUGUAUGAGUAAAAGUCAGUCUUACCGUUAGUAGGCCUCAUUCACGAAGCUGGUCUAUAAGGGGUGUUUAAGGAAAUUGCCUAUAAAAUGGCGAUUGAAUGGGUAUCCACUCUUACCCACCGCACUCUUGACUAGUGGAGGGUCGUUAGCCGAACGGGUAGGAUAGGACGAAACCUUCCAUUAUAAGUAUAAUGAAUUAUUAAAGUAACUAAAUGUUUUCAUAAAAUUCCCAAUCUUAGUUACUUAGGCAAAAGUGAAUUGAUGCAAUUCCAUGAAAUUACACUUUGUGCCCUUGCGAAGACGUUAGUGGAGCGUGUGUGGUUAACCGGCACACUAAAUGGUUCUAAGCAAAGGUAGCAAAGGGUGACUCAAUGUUUGUCAUAGUUCGGUGGAGCGUGUGUGGUUUACCGGCACAUCGAAUAGGUGACUGUAACAUGUGAGGGCACCAUGUAAGUUUGCAUGGUUAUUCACACCCGCUUUGUGAUCCUCGGCAUCCCAGUCACAAACAAGAGGGGCAUAUCGAGAUUUAAACAUGCC